CUCAAGCCCUGUCCCUUGUCCCUCCACCACAUCCUAGAUAAGUCCCAAACCUACAUCUUCACUUCAGAGAGAGAGAAAGAUAGAUCGAAAGCUCCUGAUUUGAGAUCAAAUCAAACCGGGCAAAUGUUGCUUUGCCAACCCAGAAAAUCCUACAAGAAGAACAUUGCAGCUACUAAAACUGUGUGGUUUUUGGAGCAAAUCAAGCUGAUCAAGAGCAAAAUGGGGUGUUGCUAUUCAAGAAUAGAUAGAGAAGAGAUGGUUUCGAGAUGCAAAUCAAGGAAGAGGUACAUGAAGCAGCUCGUGAAAGCAAGACAAGCUUGGUCUGCAGCUCACACCAUGUAUCUUCGUUCUCUUCGCAGCACUGGUGCUGCUCUGCUCCAAUUUUCAAAUGCUGAAACUAUCGUCCAUCACCACAACAACCACUACAGCUACCACAACAACCACCACUCGCCCUCAUAACUGCAAACUACCCAAACCUCUAUCUCUCCACAACAUCCGUCGCCGCACACCUGCCAGUGACUGAAGAAGAGUGGGAGGACAACACGACUGCCUCCGAUGCGGUGAUCACCGUCACGGCGGCGAGCACGGCGGCGCCGCCUUCUGUCGUCAGUGCGUUUUCUAAAGAGAGUGGGGCGCCUACGAGUGAGCUUGCCAUGGUGGUUUCGAGAAAUGCUAAGGAUCUGGUUGAGAUUAUAAAGGAGCUUGAUGAGUAUUUCCUCAAGGCUGCUGAUGCUGGCGGACUUCUCUCCUUGCUCUUGGAAGUUCCCACCCCUGGAUUUUCUUCUUGUCAAAAUAAAGGGGGUAAAGUUUAUAACCAUGGGUGUAAUUUGAGCCCCUCACUGUGGACAUGGGGAGGUUCAAGUCCCAAGUUUGGUGGGUUUGGAAAGAUGGGUUGUGAUGAGAUGGUGCUUAGCCAUUUAGGUAGUGGGGUUGGAGAGGAGGGUGUUGUGAGUAGCAGCCAUUGCUCUACUGUGGAGAGGCUUUAUGCUUGGGAAAAGAAACUAUACCAGGAAGUCAAGGAUGCUGAGACAAUAAAGAUAGAGCAUGAGAAGAGGGUGGCUACCUUGAAGAAGCUAGAGAUGAAGAGGGCAGACUAUGUGAAGACUGAGAAGACCAAGAAUGAUGUGGAAAAGCUGGAGUCACAAAUGAUGGUUGCUUCACAGGCCAUUGACACAACUUCUGCUGAAAUCAUCAAACUCAGGGAGACAGAGCUGUACCCUCAACUCAUUGAGCUUGUCAAGGGAUUGAUGUGCAUGUGGAGAAGCAUGUAUGAGUGCCACCAGGUCCAAAAGCACAUUGUUCAGCAGCUCAAAUACCUGAACACAAUACCAUCUACUGAACCUACAUCUGAGAUUCACAGGCAAGCAACACUCCAGCUUGAGCUUCAAGUCCAGCAAUGGCACCAGUCAUUUUGCAACCUGGUCAAGGCUCAAUUGGACUACAUCCAGUCCCUAACAGGAUGGCUCCGGCUUAGCCUCUUCCAGUUUAGGAGACAUCCAAUAUCAAAGACAAGUCAAGAAUCAAGAAUUUACAUGCUCUGUGAAGAAUGGCACCAUGCAAUUGACCGGAUUCCGGACAAAGUAGCAUCUGAAGGAAUCAAGAGCUUUUUAACCGUAGUUCAUGCUAUUGUAGUUCAACAAGCAGAGGAAUAUAAGCAAAAAAAGAAGUCAGAAUCGACAUUUAAAGAGCUUGAGAAGAAGGCAACUGUGCUUAGAUCGCUGGAGUCCAAGUAUGGCCCAUAUUCAAUGCCUGAUUCCGCUAGCACUUCUACAAAGAACCCAGUUGCUGAGAAGCGGGCAAAGGUGGAGGUGUUGAGGGCAAAAGCAGAAGAGGAGAAGAGCAAGCAUGAAAAGUCAGUGAGUGUGACAAGAGCCAUGACACUAAAUAACUUGCAGAUGGGGUUUCCUCAUGUCUUUGAGGCGAUGGUGGGAUUUUCAAGUGUGUGUAUGCAGGCAUUCGAGUCAUUAUAUAACCAAGCCAAAAGUGCUAAUCAGGAGCUUGACGUUAAGAGGUUACUACAGUGAGGAGAAGAUUCAAAUUUCAGGAAGAUUGGCAGCACUGUAAUCAGUUUUCUGUGUAUAUCGCGCAUCCUUUCAGUAAGCUUGAUGUUGAGGGGUUACUAAAUCGAUGAAAAGACUUAAAAGUUCUGGAGGAAUGACAGCAUUGUAAUCAGUUUUCGUGUAUAGAUAAAUGCACAUCCUUUCAGUUAUCAUUAACCAUAGUGGAGGAGACUAUCAGUGACAGGAUUCCCCUUUUUAAGAUAACCUUGACACAAUUAUGCAGAUUAGGGAAACACUGACCCGGAAACAGAAGUGGUUGAAUAUUUGGAAUGCAACAGAGCAAGGAUAUUCUAGUUAGUUUUCAACUUUUCAAAUGUUUGUUCUGUUUUCUCACAUGAAAGGCGUCCGGAAU
Molecule: non-coding RNA, 2412 nt
Organism: Prunus mume (Japanese apricot)
Lineage: Eukaryota; Viridiplantae; Streptophyta; Magnoliopsida; Rosales; Rosaceae
Source: RefSeq, a predicted model, not a curated record